Sinocyclocheilus anshuiensis is the source of this 84-nucleotide long non-coding RNA. RefSeq lists it as uncharacterized. The record is from RefSeq and is a predicted model, not a curated record. The transcript has 3 exons. Lineage: Eukaryota; Metazoa; Chordata; Actinopteri; Cypriniformes; Cyprinidae.
UCAUUCAUUAAACCAGAAACUUGCCUCCACAUACCUGGCGGUUUUAGUGUCCCAUUUAUUUAUCCAUGACAGGUCUAAACCAGC